AUACUCUGGUUUCUCUUCAUAUCACAUAAAUCUCUCGCCUUUUACUAAAGAUUUCCGUAGAGAGGAACAAUUCUGAGUUUUAUCUCAAUUUUUGAGGCCCUGACUCAGAAAAAAUGGAGUCU
Molecule: small nuclear RNA, 122 nt
Organism: Erinaceus europaeus (western European hedgehog)
Lineage: Eukaryota; Metazoa; Chordata; Mammalia; Eulipotyphla; Erinaceidae
Gene: U5
Rfam family: U5 spliceosomal RNA
About the family: U5 RNA is a component of both types of known spliceosome. The precise function of this molecule is unknown, though it is known that the 5' loop is required for splice site selection and p220 binding, and that both the 3' stem-loop and the Sm site are important for Sm protein binding and cap methylation.
Source: Ensembl